GCCGUGAGGUGUCGGCUUAAGUGCCAUAACGAGCGCAACCCUUGUUGACAGUUAUCAUCAGGUAAAGCUGGGGACUCUGUCGAGACUGCCACCGUAAGGUGUGAGGAAGGGGGGGAUGACGUCAAAUCAGCACGGCCCUUAUGUCCGGGGCGACACACGUGUUACAAUGGGAGGUACAGAGGGCAGCUAUCCAGUGAUGGAGUGCAAAUCUCAAAAACCUUUCUCAGUUCGGAUUGGAGUCUGCAACUCGACUCCAUGAAGUUGGAUUCGCUA
Molecule: ribosomal RNA, 273 nt
Filed under: uncultured bacterium
Lineage: Bacteria
Description: partial 16S ribosomal RNA
Rfam family: Bacterial small subunit ribosomal RNA
Source: RNAcentral